Molecule: ribosomal RNA, 468 nt
Filed under: uncultured bacterium
Lineage: Bacteria
Description: partial 16S ribosomal RNA
Rfam family: Bacterial small subunit ribosomal RNA
Source: RNAcentral
GACGAACGCUGGCGGCGUGCUUAACACAUGCAAGUCGAACGGUGAAGCUCCAGCUUGCUGGAGUGGAUCAGUGGCGAACGGGUGAGUAACACGUGAGCAACCUGCCCCUGACUCUGGAAUAAGCGCUGGAAACGGCGUCUAAUACUGGAUACGAGAAGGGUCCGCAUGGGCACUUUCUGGAAAGUUUUUCGGUUGGGGAUGGGCUCGCGGCCUAUCAGCUUGUUGGUGAGGUAAUGGCUCACCAAGGCGACGACGGGUAGCCGGCCUGAGAGGGCGACCGCCCACACUGGGACUGAGACACGGCCCAGACUCCUACGGGAGGCAGCAGUGGGGAAUAUUGCACAAUGGGCGAAAGCCUGAUGCAGCGACGCCGCGUGAGGGAUGACGGCCUUCGGGUUGUAAACCUCUUUCAGCAGGGAAGAAGCGAAAGUGACGGUACCUGCAGAAGAAGCACCGGCUAACUACGUG